GAAAGCAACUCCCUCCCAAGGUUUCAACCUAUCACUGUGCAUGAAGAUAGCAGGUGAGGUAGCACCUUCAAAUUCCUACAUGCAAGGAUUAGACAAAUCGAAGACAGAGGAAGUGCAAUAUUUCAGAAACCCUGUAGAUCUAAACUCAUCAUAGAAAUUAUACCCCAAGAAUAAAAAGAAAAUUUAUCAGUUCUUCUCCAACUUAACAUUGAUGACAGUCAUCUAUCCCAUCUGCCUAUUCCAUGAAUGUCAACAUACAAGCAACUAGAAUCAGAAGCUCAAUUCUUGAAGAAGGCUAUCCUAUACUUAAUGCUAGCUACCUACCUACAUAAUAUUGGACGUGAAAUGCUUUCAUGAACUACUGCUUCUAGGGAGAUGUUUAAUAGAGUUAUGCUGGAAGUAUCACUGUGUUGUAGAAUCAGAUGAUUAAUUUACUUUUGGCAUCCAAAAAGGGGGUGAAUUGCUACCAAAAGAAACAGCAUAAAAAUCUUCCCCCUUUUAACCCUAGAGUAAAAUUUAUGAAACCAGUCUGCACAUUAGAAUCACUAGGGAGCUUUAAAAAUAUAUUGAUGCUCAAGUCUCACUCCCAGAGAUUCUGAUUAGUCUUGGACGGGACCUGGGCGUCUGUAUGUUUUAAAACCUCCCCUGGCCAGGCACAGUAGCUCAUGCCUGUAAUCCCAACACUUUGUGAGGCUGAAGUGGGUGGAUCACCACAGGUCGGG
RNAcentral lists this long non-coding RNA (722 nucleotides) under Homo sapiens (human). RNAcentral's name for it is "non-protein coding lnc-ZNF483-4:1". Lineage: Eukaryota; Metazoa; Chordata; Mammalia; Primates; Hominidae. The record is from RNAcentral.